AACCGAGAACUCCUACGGGAGGCAGCAGUGGGGAAUUUUGGACAAUGGGGGCAACCCUGAUCCAGCAAUGCCGCGUGAGUGAAGAAGGCCUUCGGGUUGUAAAGCUCUUUUGUCAGGGAAGAAACGGUAGUAGCUAAUAUCUAUUACUAAUGACGGUACCUGAAGAAUAAGCACCGGCUAACUACGUGCCAGCAGCCGCGGUAAUACGUAGGGUGCAAGCGUUAAUCGGAAUUACUGGGCGUAAAGCGUGCGCAGGCGGUUGUGUAAGUCAGAUGUGAAAUCCCCGGGCUCAACCUGGGAAUUGCAUUUGAGACUGCACGGCUAGAGUGCGUCAGAGGGGGGUAGAGUUCCACGUGUAGCAGUGAAAUGCGUAGAUAUGUGGAGGAAUACCGAUGGCGAAGGCAGCCCCCUGGGAUACCACUGACGCUCAUGCACGAAAGCGUGGGGAGCAAACAGGAUUAGAAACCCUGGUAGUCCGACUGAGA
Molecule: ribosomal RNA, 485 nt
Filed under: uncultured bacterium
Lineage: Bacteria
Description: bacterial SSU rRNA
Rfam family: Bacterial small subunit ribosomal RNA
Source: RNAcentral